This 234-nucleotide unclassified non-coding RNA is filed under the name plant metagenome. RNAcentral describes it as "partial contains small subunit ribosomal RNA and internal transcribed spacer 1". The stretch from base 1 to 47 matches the Rfam family "Eukaryotic small subunit ribosomal RNA", at positions 1785 to 1831 of the family's 1831-position model. The record is from RNAcentral.
AAUGUCGUAACAAGGUUUCCGUAGGUGAACCUGCGGAAGGAUCAUUAAAGAGAAAGGGGUUCCGGCCCCUGAGGCUUCGGCCUCGACUCUAUACCCUAUGUUUAUAUCACUUCUGUUGCCUUUGGGCGGACCAUGAAUCUCAUUCACGCCGAUAUUUUCGUCGACGAGUGUUCGCCAAAGGCCCUUUAAAACUCUUUAUCUUUGUGUCUGAGUACAAACUAAAACUUUAAAAGG